GUCAGGAUGGCCGAGCGGUCUAAGGCGCUGCGUUCAGGUCGCAGUCCAGUCUUCUGGGCGAGGGUUCGAAUCCCUCUUCUGACA
Daphnia magna is the source of this 84-nucleotide transfer RNA. It matches the Rfam family "tRNA". Rfam says of the family: Transfer RNA (tRNA) molecules are approximately 80 nucleotides in length. Their secondary structure includes four short double-helical elements and three loops (D, anti-codon, and T loops). NCBI's taxonomy places the organism in Eukaryota, Metazoa, Arthropoda, Branchiopoda, Diplostraca, Daphniidae. The record is from Rfam.